GUGUGCAGAAUAUUAAAUGUCAAAUGCAAAUAUGAAAAUGGAGCUACAUGGUUGCAGAUAGUCCCUAAUUGAUAUUGAGCAGACUAUUCCCUUUAAAUGUUAAUGAAACUGUUGUAAUUACUAAAUGACCAAAACAGCUCAGAAGCCAGGGUUCACAGCUGUAAACCAUUACUUGUAAAUUACUGGCACAGCCCCGCAUUAGCAGAUGGCUCGGCCCAUGGAAGAAAACUUCCUCAAGAUGCUUUUCUUCCAGGCCUGGGCUCAGGAGCAAAUUAGAUGAGCAUAUUAGAGAAGGCCAGAGUGCCUGUUUGGACAUGUCGCUGGCGAUAAACACCUUCUUUGAUCUUCUUAUUUUUUUCAUUACAUUCUUUGCAGAAAGUGCUGAAUAUCACAGAAUACAAAGAAAAGAGAAGGCGAAACUGACAGAGCUUAUAAACAUAGCAGGAAAGUUCAGAUAUGCACAUUUCUGCUGGAGUUUUAAGGAGCAGUGUGUUUCCUACAUCCUGAAGCAGAUGAACUUGAUGGGAUGGAGUUUCUUGAAAGCCUUCGAAGUUUUCAUGGCAAUUCCCUUGUUCAUUGCUACAAAAGUUUACAGGUUUGGUGAUAGAAGUUGAAGAAACUUCUCUGUGAAGAAAUCAACAUCAUCCACCAAGAGGAAAAGGGCAUGACAGGGUUACAAAUCCAAUGUGUGAAGAAGUUCAGAUUGCCUCCCUGGAGACCUAGAAACAAAGCUUCCUGGAGAAAGUGAGUGGUCCAGGUUGAUGUUCAUUUGCCUACUUAAGUUUGGGAACUAUAACUUUGUAACUGUUAUAUGUGACUAUUCAAUCACAAAAUUGUAGAGACAAAACAUGAAAGUAAUCUUCAAAGAUUUCUGUCUUUCUUGGUUCCAUGUGUUUAUAAUUAAUGGACACUUACUAAAAAUUUUAAGUCAUCCAAAAUUUAAG
This 944-nucleotide long non-coding RNA is filed under the name Felis catus (domestic cat). RNAcentral's name for it is "lncRNA (ENSFCAG00000043729.2)". Lineage: Eukaryota; Metazoa; Chordata; Mammalia; Carnivora; Felidae. The record is from RNAcentral.